This 253-nucleotide ribosomal RNA is filed under the name uncultured bacterium. RNAcentral describes it as "partial 16S ribosomal RNA". It matches the Rfam family "Bacterial small subunit ribosomal RNA", at positions 524 to 776 of the family's 1533-position model. The record is from RNAcentral.
GACGUAGGGGGCGAGCGUUGUCCGGAAUUACUGGGCGUAAAGGGCGCGUAGGCGGUCAAUCAAGUCAGGUGUAAAAGACCUGGGCUCAACCCGGGGGUAGCAUCUGAAACUGAUUGGCUAGAGGGCAGGAGAGGGGAGUGGAAUUCCCGGUGUAGCGGUGAAAUGCGUAGAUAUCGGGAGGAAUACCAGUGGCGAAGGCGACUCUCUGGACUGGCCCUGACGCUGAGGCGCGAAAGCGUGGGGAGCAAACAGG